Molecule: ribosomal RNA, 1494 nt
Filed under: metagenome
Description: bacterial SSU rRNA
Rfam family: Bacterial small subunit ribosomal RNA
Source: RNAcentral
GAGUUUGAUCCUGGCUCAGAUUGAACGCUGGCGGUAUGCUUAACACAUGCAAGUCGAACGGUAACAGCAGAGUUUGUUCUGGCUGACGAGUGGCGGACGGGUGCGUAACGCGUGGGAAUCUACCUUAUAGUGGGGGAUAGCCCGGAGAAAUCCGGAUUAAUACCGCAUAAGCCCUAUGGGGGAAAAGGGGCCUCUCCUUGGAAGCUCUUGCUAUUAGAUGAGCCCGCGUAAGAUUAGCUUGUUGGUGGGGUAAUAGCCUACCAAGGCGACGAUCUUUAGCUGGUCUGAGAGGAUGAUCAGCCACACUGGGACUAGACACGGCCCAGACUCCUAUGGGAGGCAGCAGUGGGGAAUAUUGGACAAUGGGCGCAAGCCUGAUCCAGCAAUACCGCGUGUGUGAAGAAGGCCUGAGGGUUGUAAAGCACUUUCAAUUGUGAAGAAAAGCCUUAAAUUAAUACUUUAGGGUCUUGACGUUAACUUUAGAAGAAGCACCGGCUAACUCCGUGUUAGUAGUUGCGGUAAUACGGAGGGUGCAAGCGUUAAUCGGAAUUACUGGGCGUAAAGCGCACGUAGGCGGUUAGGUAAGUCAGAUGUGAAAGCCCCGGGCUCAACCUGGGAACUGCAUUUGAUACUGCUUAACUAGAGUAUAGUAGAGGCAAGUGGAAUUCCAGGUGUAGCGGUGAAAUGCGUAGAUAUCUGGAGGAACAUCAGUGGCGAAGGCGACUUGCUGGACUAAUACUGACGCUGAGGUGCGAAAGCGUGGGGAGCAAACAGGAUUAGAUACCCUGGUAGUCCACGCCGUAAACGAUGUCAACUAGCCGUUGGGAGCAUUUAAGCUUUUAGUGGCGCAGCUAACGCAUUAAGUUGACCGCCUGGGGAGUACGCGCGCAAGCGUAAAACUCAAAGGAAUUGACGGGGGCCCGCACAAGCGGUGGAGCAUGUGGUUUAAUUCGAUGCAAUGUGAAGAGCCUUACCAGCCCUUGACAUCCUGCGAACUUUCUAGAGAUAGAUUGGUGCCUUUGGGAACGCAGUGACAGGUGCUGCAUGGCUGUCGUCAGCUCGUGUUGUGAGAUGUUGGGUUAAGUCCCGCAACGAGCGCAACCCUUGUCCUUAGUUGCCAGCAUGUAAUGGUGGGAAUUCUAAGGAGACUGCCGGUGAUAAACCGGAGGAAGGUGGGGAUGACGUCAAGUCAUUAUGGCCCUUAUGGGCUGGGCUACACACGUGCUACAAUGGCAAGUACAGAGGGCUGCAAUCCCGCGAGGGGGAGCCAAUCCCACAAAGCUUGUCUUAGUCCGGAUUGGAGUCUGCAACUCGACUCCAUGAAGUCGGAAUCGCUAGUAAUCGUAGAUCAGCACUGCUACGGUGAAUACGUUCCCGGGCCUUGUACACACCGCCCGUCACACCAUGGGAGUGGGUUGCAAAAGAAGUGGGUAGCUUAAUAAUGGGCGCUCACCACUUUGUGAUUCAUGACUGGGGUGAAGUUGAAACAAGGUA